This is a small nuclear RNA of Choloepus didactylus (southern two-toed sloth), 108 nucleotides long. The record is from RefSeq and is a predicted model, not a curated record. Lineage: Eukaryota; Metazoa; Chordata; Mammalia; Pilosa; Megalonychidae.
AUGCUCACUUCAGCAGCACAUAUACUAAAAUUGGGAACCAUACAGAGAAGAUUAGCACGGCCCCUGAGCAAGGAUAACACGCAAAUUCAUGAAGCGUUCCAUAUUUUU